GCUCAGUAACACGCGGAUAACAUGCCCUUGGGUCCGGCAUAACCCCGGGAAACUGGGGAUAAUUCCGGAUAACGCACAUAUGCUGGAAUGCUUUAUGCGUCAAAUGGAUUCGUCCGCCCAAGGAUGGGUCUGCGGCCUAUCAGGUAGUAGUGGGUGUAAUGUACCUACUAGCCUACGACGGGUACGGGUUGUGAGAGCAAGAGCCCGGAGAUGGAUUCUGAGACAUGAAUCCAGGCCCUACGGGGCGCAGCAGGCGCGAAAACUUUACAAUGCGGGAAACCGUGAUAAGGGGACACCGAGUGCCAGCAUCAUAUGCUGGCUGUCCGGGUGUGUAAAAUACACCUGUUAGCAAGGGCCGGGCAAGACCGGUGCCAGCCGCCGCGGUAACACCGGCGGCCCGAGUGGUGAUCGUGAUUAUUGGGUCUAAAAGGUCCGUAGCCGGUUUGGUCAGUCCUCCGGGAAAUCUGACGGCUUAACCGUUAGGCUUUCGGGGGAUACUGCCAGACUUGGAACCGGGAGAGGUAAGAGGUACUACAGGGGUAGGAGUGAAAUCUUGUAAUCCCUGUGGGACCACCUGUGGCGAAGGCGUCUUACCAGAACGGGUUCGACGGUGAGGGACGAAAGCUGGGGGCACGAACCGGAUUAGAUACCCGGGUAGUCCCAGCCGUAAACGAUGCUCGCUAGGUGUCAGGCAUGGCGCGACCGUGUCUGGUGCCGCAGGGAAGCCGUGAAGCGAGCCACCUGGGAAGUACGGCCGCAAGGCUGAAACUUAA
RNAcentral lists this ribosomal RNA (773 nucleotides) under uncultured archaeon. RNAcentral describes it as "bacterial SSU rRNA". It matches the Rfam family "Archaeal small subunit ribosomal RNA", at positions 88 to 859 of the family's 1478-position model. The record is from RNAcentral.